Molecule: ribosomal RNA, 1331 nt
Filed under: metagenome
Description: bacterial LSU rRNA
Rfam family: Bacterial large subunit ribosomal RNA
Source: RNAcentral
ACUAGUCGAGUCGUCCUGCGCGGAAGAUGUAACGGGGCUCAAGCCAUGAACCGAAGCUGCGGAUGCAUUUUAAUGCAUGGUAGGGGAGCGUUCUGUAAGUCUGUGAAGGUGUCUUGUAAAGGAUGCUGGAGAUAUCAGAAGUGCGAAUGCUGACAUGAGUAGCGAUAAAGGGUGUGAAAAGCACCCUCGCCGAAAGCCCAAGGUUUCCUGCGCAACGUUCAUCGGCGCAGGGUGAGUCGGCCCCUAAGGCGAGGCAGAGAUGCGUAGUCGAUGGGAAACAGGUCAAUAUUCCUGUACCGCUCUAUGAUGCGAUGGGGGGACGGAGAAGGUUAGGCCAGCCAACUGUUGGAAUAGUUGGUUUAAGCGUGUAGGCGUGCUCUUUAGGCAAAUCCGGAGAGCUGAGCUGAGGCGUGAUGACGAGGUCUCUUUGAGACCGAAGUGGUUGAUACCCUGCUUCCAGGAAAAGCCUCUAAGCUUCAGUCAUAGAGUGACCGUACCGCAAACCGACACAGGUGGGCAGGUAGAAGAUACUAAGGCGCUUGAGAGAACUCAGGAGAAGGAACUCGGCAAAUUGAUACCGUAACUUCGGGAGAAGGUAUGCCCCAGUAGCUUGUAGGAGAACAUCCGAAGGGCGACGGGGCCGCAGAGAAUCGGUGGCUGCGACUGUUUAUUAAAAACUCAGCACUCUGCAAACACGAAAGUGGACGUAUAGGGUGUGACGCCUGCCCGGUGCCGGAAGGUUAAGUGAUGGGGUGCAAGCUCUUGAUCGAAGCCCCGGUAAACGGCGGCCGUAACGAUAACGGUCCUAAGGUAGCGAAAUUCCUUGUCGGGUAAGUUCCGACCUGCACGAAUGGCGUAACGAUGGCCACACUGUCUCCUCCUGAGACUCAGCGAAGUUGAAGUGUUUGUGAAGAUGCAAUCUCCCCGCGGCUAGACGGAAAGACCCCAUGAACCUUUACUGUAGCUUUGCAUUGGACUUUGACGGGACUUGUGUAGGAUAGGUGGGAGGCGCUGAGACCAGGACGCUAGUUCUGGUGGAGCCGUCCUUGAAAUACCACCCUGGUGUCGUUGAGGUUCUAACCUAGGUCCAUCAUCUGGAUCGGGGACCGUGCAUGGUAGGCAGUUUGACUGGGGCGGUCUCCUCCCAAAAGGUAACGGAGGAGUACGAAGGUCUUCUAGGUACGGUCGGACAUCGUACUGAUAGUGCAAUGGCAAAAGAAGGCUUGACUGCGAGACCGACAAGUCGAGCAGGUGCGAAAGCAGGUCAUAGUGAUCCGGUGGUUCUGUAUGGAAGGGCCAUCGCUCAACGGAUAAAAGGUACUCUGGGGAUA